GGGUUGUGAGGUUAAGCGACUAAGCGUACACGGUGGAUGCCCUGGCAGUCAGAGGCGAUGAAGGGCGUGCUAAUCUGCGAUAAGCGCCGGUAAGGUGAUAUGAACCGUUAUAACCGGCGAUACCCGAAUGGGGAAACCCAGUGUGACUCGUCACACUAUCAUUAACUGAAUCCAUAGGUUAAUGAGGCGAACCGGGGGAACUGAAACAUCUAAGUACCCCGAGGAAAAGAAAUCAACCGAGAUUCCCCCAGUAGCGGCGAGCGAACGGGGAGGAGCCCAGAGCCUGAAUCAGCAUGUGUGUUAGUGGAAGCGUCUGGAAAGGCGCGCGAUACAGGGUGACAGCCCCGUACACAAAAGCGCAUGUGCUGUGAGCUCGAUGAGUAGGGCGGGACACGUGGUAUCCUGUCUGAAUAUGGGGGGACCAUCCUCCAAGGCUAAAUACUCCUGACUGACCGAUAGUGAACCAGUACCGUGAGGGAAAGGCGAAAAGAACCCCGGCGAGGGGAGUGAAAAAGAACCUGAAACCGUGUACGUACAAGCAGUGGGAGCACAGGUUUACCUGUGUGACUGCGUACCUUUUGUAUAAUGGGUCAGCGACUUAUAUUCUGUAGCAAGGUUAACCGAAUAGGGGAGCCGGAGGGAAACCGAGUCUUAAUUGGGCGUUAAGUUGCAGGGUAUAGACCCGAAACCCGGUGAUCUAGCCAUGGGCAGGUUGAAGGUUGGGUAACACUAACUGGAGGACCGAACCGACUAAUGUUGAAAAAUUAGCGGAUGACCUGUGGCUGGGGUGAAAGGCCAAUCAAACCGGGAGAUAGCUGGUUCUCCCCGAAAGCUAUUUAGGUAGCGCCUCGUGAAUUCAUCUCCGGGGGUAGAGCACUGUUUCGGCUAGGGGGCCAUCCCGGCUUACCAACCCGAUGCAAACUGCGAAUACCGGAGAAUGUUAUCACGGGAGACACACGGCGGGUGCUAACGUCCGUCGUGAAGAGGGAAACAACCCAGACCGCCAGCUAAGGUCCCAAAGUCAUGGUUAAGUGGGAAACGAUGUGGGAAGGCCCAGACAGCCAGGAUGUUGGCUUAGAAGCAGCCAUCAUUUAAAGAAAGCGUAAUAGCUCACUGGUCGAGUCGGCCUGCGCGGAAGAUGUAACGGGCUAAACCAUGCACCGAAGCUGCGGCAGCGACACUCAGGUGUUGUUGGGUAGGGGAGCGUUCUGUAAGCCUGUGAAGGUGUGCUGUGAGGCAUGCUGGAGGUAUCAGAAGUGCGAAUGCUGACAUAAGUAACGAUAAAGCGGGUGAAAAGCCCGCUCGCCGGAAGACCAAGGGUUCCUGUCCAACGUUAAUCGGGGCAGGGUGAGUCGACCCCUAAGGCGAGGCCGAAAGGCGUAGUCGAUGGGAAACGGGUUAAUAUUCCCGUACUUGGUGUUACUGCGAAGGGGGACGGAGAAGGCUAUGUUGGCCGGGCGACGGUUGUCCCGGUUUAAGCGUGUAGGUGUGUGGUAAAUCCGGUUCACUUUAACACUGAGGCGUGAUGACGAGGCACUACGGUGCUGAAGCAACAAAUGCCCUGCUUCCAGGAAAAGCCUCUAAGCAUCAGGUAACAUCAAAUCGUACCCCAAACCGACACAGGUGGUCAGGUAGAGAAUACCAAGGCGCUUGAGAGAACUCGGGUGAAGGAACUAGGCAAAAUGGUGCCGUAACUUCGGGAGAAGGCACGCUGACACGUAGGUGAAGUGAUUUACUCAUGGAGCUGAAGUCAGUCGAAGAUACCAGCUGGCUGCAACUGUUUAUUAAAAACACAGCACUGUGCAAACACGAAAGUGGACGUAUACGGUGUGACGCCUGCCCGGUGCCGGAAGGUUAAUUGAUGGGGUCAGCGCAAGCGAAGCUCCUGAUCGAAGCCCCGGUAAACGGCGGCCGUAACUAUAACGGUCCUAAGGUAGCGAAAUUCCUUGUCGGGUAAGUUCCGACCUGCACGAAUGGCGUAAUGAUGGCGAGGCUGUCUCCACCCGAGACUCAGUGAAAUUGAACUCGCUGUGAAGAUGCAGUGUACCCGCGGCAAGACGGAAAGACCCCGUGAACCUUUACUAUAGCUUGACACUGAACAUUGAGCCUUGAUGUGUAGGAUAGGUGGGAGGCUUUGAAGUGUGGACGCCAGUCUGCAUGGAGCCGGCCUUGAAAUACCACCCUUUAAUGUUUGAUGUUCUAACGUGGACCCGUGAUCCGGGUUGCGGACAGUGUCUGGUGGGUAGUUUGACUGGGGCGGUCUCCUCCUAAAGAGUAACGGAGGAGCACGAAGGUUGGCUAAUCCUGGUCGGACAUCAGGAGGUUAGUGCAAUGGCAUAAGCCAGCUUGACUGCGAGCGUGACGGCGCGAGCAGGUGCGAAAGCAGGUCAUAGUGAUCCGGUGGUUCUGAAUGGAAGGGCCAUCGCUCAACGGAUAAAAGGUACUCCGGGGAUAACAGGCUGAUACCGCCCAAGAGUUCAUAUCGACGGCGGUGUUUGGCACCUCGAUGUCGGCUCAUCACAUCCUGGGGCUGAAGUAGGUCCCAAGGGUAUGGCUGUUCGCCAUUUAAAGUGGUACGCGAGCUGGGUUUAGAACGUCGUGAGACAGUUCGGUCCCUAUCUGCCGUGGGCGCUGGAGAACUGAGGGGGGCUGCUCCUAGUACGAGAGGACCGGAGUGGACGCAUCACUGGUGUUCGGGUUGUCAUGCCAAUGGCACUGCCCGGUAGCUAAAUGCGGAAGAGAUAAGUGCUGAAAGCAUCUAAGCACGAAACUUGCCCCGAGAUGAGUUCUCCCUGAGACUUUAGGUCUCCUGAAGGAACGUUGAAGACGACGACGUUGAUAGGCCGGGUGUGUAAGCGCAGCGAUGCGUUGAGCUAACCGGUACUAAUGAACCGUGAGGCUUAACCUUACAACGCCGAAG
This 2920-nucleotide ribosomal RNA is filed under the name Salmonella enterica subsp. enterica serovar Muenster. RNAcentral's name for it is "23S ribosomal RNA". It matches the Rfam family "Bacterial large subunit ribosomal RNA". Lineage: Bacteria; Pseudomonadati; Pseudomonadota; Gammaproteobacteria; Enterobacterales; Enterobacteriaceae. The record is from RNAcentral.